This 1023-nucleotide ribosomal RNA is filed under the name Penicillium hirsutum. RNAcentral describes it as "SSU rRNA". It matches the Rfam family "Eukaryotic small subunit ribosomal RNA", at positions 68 to 1101 of the family's 1831-position model. The record is from RNAcentral. Lineage: Eukaryota; Fungi; Ascomycota; Eurotiomycetes; Eurotiales; Aspergillaceae.
AGCACUUGUACUGUGAAACUGCGAAUGGCUCAUUAAAUCAGUUAUCGUUUAUUUGAUAGUACCUUACUACAUGGAUACCUGUGGUAAUUCUAGAGCUAAUACAUGCUAAAAACCCCGACUUCAGGAAGGGGUGUAUUUAUUAGAUAAAAAACCAACGCCCUUCGGGGCUCCUUGGUGAAUCAUAAUAACUUAACGAAUCGCAUGGCCUUGCGCCGGCGAUGGUUCAUUCAAAUUUCUGCCCUAUCAACUUUCGAUGGUAGGAUAGUGGCCUACCAUGGUGGCAACGGGUAACGGGGAAUUAGGGUUCGAUUCCGGAGAGGGAGCCUGAGAAACGGCUACCACAUCCAAGGAAGGCAGCAGGCGCGCAAAUUACCCAAUCCCGAUACGGGGAGGUAGUGACAAUAAAUACUGAUACGGGGCUCUUUUGGGUCUCGUAAUUGGAAUGAGAACAAUUUAAAUCCCUUAACGAGGAACAAUUGGAGGGCAAGUCUGGUGCCAGCAGCCGCGGUAAUUCCAGCUCCAAUAGCGUAUAUUAAAGUUGUUGCAGUUAAAAAGCUCGUAGUUGAACCUUGGGUCUGGCUGGCCGGUCCGCCUCACCGCGAGUACUGGUCCGGCUGGACCUUUCCUUCUGGGGAACCUCAUGGCCUUCACUGGCUGUGGGGGGAACCAGGACUUUUACUGUGAAAAAAUUAGAGUGUUCAAAGCAGGCCUUUGCUCGAAUACAUUAGCAUGGAAUAAUAGAAUAGGACGUGUGGUUCUAUUUUGUUGGUUUCUAGGACCGCCGUAAUGAUUAAUAGGGAUAGUCGGGGGCGUCAGUAUUCAGCUGUCAGAGGUGAAAUUCUUGGAUUUGCUGAAGACUAACUACUGCGAAAGCAUUCGCCAAGGAUGUUUUCAUUAAUCAGGGAACGAAAGUUAGGGGAUCGAAGACGAUCAGAUACCGUCGUAGUCUUAACCAUAAACUAUGCCGACUAGGGAUCGGACGGGAUUCUAUAAUGACCCGUUCGGCACCUUACGAGAAAUCAA